Molecule: ribosomal RNA, 253 nt
Filed under: uncultured bacterium
Lineage: Bacteria
Description: partial 16S ribosomal RNA
Rfam family: Bacterial small subunit ribosomal RNA
Source: RNAcentral
UACAGAGGUCUCAAGCGUUGUUCGGAUUCAUUGGGCGUAAAGGGUGCGUAGGCGGCGCGGUAAGUCGGGUGUGAAAUUUCGAGGCUUAACUUCGAAACUGCAUUCGAUACUGCCGUGCUUGAGGACUGGAGAGGAGACUGGAAUUUACGGUGUAGCGGUGAAAUGCGUAGAUAUCUGGAGGAACACCGGUGGCGAAGGCGGCAUCCUGGACCGGUAUUGACGCUGAGACGCGAAAGCGUGGGGAGCAAACAGG